This is a long non-coding RNA of Lutra lutra (Eurasian river otter), 464 nucleotides long. RefSeq lists it as uncharacterized. The transcript has 2 exons. The record is from RefSeq and is a predicted model, not a curated record. Lineage: Eukaryota; Metazoa; Chordata; Mammalia; Carnivora; Mustelidae.
CUCACAAUGAGAAUAGUUUUUGUUGAGUCCCACGACUCAAAAUUUCAAAGAUGGGGUGACUGACUGGCUCAGUAGAAUAUGCUACACUUGAUCUCAGGGUCAUGAGUUCAAGUCCCAAAUUGGGCAUAGAGAUUACUUUGGACAAAAAAAAAAGCCUUAAAAAAAACCCCAAAUUCAAAAGGUAUGAAAAUGUAUUUAGUAACAAGUCUCCGCGCACAACCCAUCCCCUCCCUGGCCAUGCAGUUCCUCUCCUGGGAGACAUCCAGUACUACUAGUUUCUUGCGGAUCCUUCCAGAGAUGCCAGAUAUUCUAUUUUUAAUUUUUAAUGUAAAGGAAUUUAUCGAUUUUUUUUCCGAUUUUUUUUCUUUUAUGGCUGCUGAAUUUGGUGACAUACUCAGAAAGCCUCCUUCACUCCAAGAUUCUAGAAAAUUUCCUCUUUGUUCUUCAGUAUUUUUAUAGCUCAC